GUACCAUGCGUAGCGGAGGGGGAGGAGUGGCACGGACGAGAAUCCGCCAUUCUUCGUCUUAGGCUUUGCUGCAGCACUUUCCUCGUUAUUGUUUGUAAGCGGACGGAGAUGUCGGGCGAAGUCGAGAUGCAAGAGGAGAGCUUAAUGGAGGCGUCCGCCAGCGAAGCAGAAGCAGAAGCUGAAGCUGAAGCUGAGGCAGAAGCUGAAGCAGAGGCUGAGGCCGAAGCCAGCGGCCCUAGCGAGGGGGGGAAGAUGAACUCCGGCAAGGCCGAGGAGGACGAGGGGGGGCGCGGCUGGCUGAUGGAGUCCACAGAAGACGGACCUAGUCUUCUUCCCAGCACGCACUGGAAGAUGUUUAUUGGAGGGCUUAGCUGGGACACCACAAAGAAAGACCUGAAGGAUUACUUUGCAAAAUUUGGAGAAGUUGUAGACUGUACCUUAAAAUUGGAUCCAAUCACUGGUCGGUCAAGAGGCUUUGGCUUUGUAUUAUUUAAAGAAUCUGACGGUGUUGAUAAGGUGAUGGAGCAGAAAGAGCACAAGUUAAAUGGCAAAGUUAUUGACCCAAAAAGGGCAAAAGCAAUGAAGACAAAAGAUCCAGUAAAGAAAAUAUUUGUGGGUGGCUUGUCGCCAGACACCCCAGAAGACAAGAUAAAGGAGUACUUUACAACAUUUGGGGAGGUUGAAUCAGUUGAGCUUCCCAUGGACAACAAGACCAGCAAGCGACGUGGCUUCUGCUUCAUCACAUUUACUGAAGAAGAACCAGUGAAAAAAAUCAUGGAGAAGAAAUACCAUAAUGUCGGCUUGAGUAAAUGUGAAAUCAAAGUAGCGCUUUCAAAGGAACAGUACCAGCAGCAGCAGCAGUGGGGCACGAGAGGCGGUGGAUCCUCGUCAAGAUCACGCGGACGUGGAGCAAUUCCGUCCAUAGGCUCAAAUCAAAGCUGGAAUCAGGGAUACAGUAGUUACUGGAGUCCAAGCUACAGUAGUUAUGGCUAUAACAACCCGGGUUAUGGAGGCUAUGGCAACUAUGACUACACUGGUUAUAACUACUAUGGAUAUGGAGAUUACAAUAAUCAGCAGAGUGGUUAUGGGAAAACAGCCAGACGAGGUGGUCAUCAAAAUAGUUACAAACCCUACUAAAUUAUUCCCUUUCCAACGUGUCACAAACAGCGGGGAAUUCAUUGCAGGCCCUGUGUCGCGCUGACUUCACGAUUCUCACAGGCCCGCUCAAUGCGGACAGGGUACGAGAUGCUCACGCUCUCGAAUGCUGCCGUUUGGUGAACGAGCAGUAUUUUCUGGUCUGAAGAUUUGAGGUGGCUCAUUCUGCAUGCAUAUUGCAGUGCAAAUUAUUUUUCUCCCUUUUUCGUGUUUUUUACGUUUAUUUUUUAAUGAGGCCCUACAAAGGGAAAUAGCCUUUUUUCUCAUUUCUAGAACUUCAUUCUUACUUUUAUUAUGGCUUCGCUUGUCAAAUUGUGUUUACCUUAUUUCACCAGCAUGGAAGAUAGGGUUGUGUUCAAUAUCUUUGUAUGCCUGCAUCAUGAUGUAGCUUUACCCAGUUUCCUUAAAAUAAAUCUUCCUUUAAUUUUUA
RNA transcript from Bufo gargarizans (Asiatic toad), 1585 nucleotides. It is a transcript of the gene named heterogeneous nuclear ribonucleoprotein D0-like, with no coding region annotated. The transcript is spliced from 10 exons. The record is from RefSeq and is a predicted model, not a curated record. Lineage: Eukaryota; Metazoa; Chordata; Amphibia; Anura; Bufonidae.